UCCUACGGGAGGCAGCAGUAGGGAAUCUUCGGCAAUGGACGAAAGUCUGACCGAGCAACGCCGCGUGAGUGAAGAAGGUUUUCGGAUCGUAAAACUCUGUUGUUAGAGAAGAACGUUGUGUAGAGUGGAAAAUUACACAAGUGACGGUAUCUAACCAGAAAGGGACGGCUAACUACGUGCCAGCAGCCGCGGUAAU
Molecule: ribosomal RNA, 196 nt
Filed under: uncultured Lactococcus sp.
Lineage: Bacteria; Bacillati; Bacillota; Bacilli; Lactobacillales; Streptococcaceae
Description: partial 16S ribosomal RNA
Rfam family: Bacterial small subunit ribosomal RNA
Source: RNAcentral